GAGAUGGCUCAGUGGUUAGAGCACUGGCUGCUCUUCCAGAGGACCUGGGUUCAAAUCCCAGAACUCA
This 67-nucleotide transfer RNA is filed under the name Neotoma lepida (desert woodrat). It matches the Rfam family "tRNA". Rfam says of the family: Transfer RNA (tRNA) molecules are approximately 80 nucleotides in length. Their secondary structure includes four short double-helical elements and three loops (D, anti-codon, and T loops). Further hydrogen bonds mediate the characteristic L-shaped molecular structure. tRNAs have two regions of fundamental functional importance: the anti-codon, which is responsible for specific mRNA codon recognition, and the 3' end, to which the tRNAs corresponding amino acid is attached (by aminoacyl-tRNA synthetases). tRNAs cope with the degeneracy of the genetic code in two manners: having more than one tRNA (with a specific anti-codon) for a particular amino acid; and 'wobble' base-pairing, i.e. permitting non-standard base-pairing at the 3rd anti-codon position. The record is from Rfam by way of RNAcentral. Lineage: Eukaryota; Metazoa; Chordata; Mammalia; Rodentia; Cricetidae.